Molecule: ribosomal RNA, 253 nt
Filed under: uncultured bacterium
Lineage: Bacteria
Description: partial 16S ribosomal RNA
Rfam family: Archaeal small subunit ribosomal RNA
Source: RNAcentral
UACCAGCACCCCGAGUGGUCGGGACGAUUAUUGGGCCUAAAGCAUCCGUAGCCGGCCUUACAAGUCCUCCGUUAAACCCAGCUGCUUAACAGAUGGGCUGCGGAGGAUACUAUAAGACUAGGAGGCAGGAGAGGCAAGCGGUACUCAGUGGGUAGGGGUAAAAUCCGUUGAUCCAUUGAAGACCACCAGUGGCGAAGGCGGCUUGCCAGAAUGCGCUCGACGGUGAGGGAUGAAAGCUGGGGGAGCAAACCGG